RNAcentral lists this ribosomal RNA (447 nucleotides) under uncultured bacterium. RNAcentral's name for it is "bacterial SSU rRNA". It matches the Rfam family "Bacterial small subunit ribosomal RNA", at positions 328 to 792 of the family's 1533-position model. The record is from RNAcentral.
UUACCAGACUCCUACGGGAGGCAGCAGUGGGGGAUAUUGCACAAUGGGGGGAACCCUGAUGCAGCGACGCCGCGUGGGUGAAGAAGUAUUUCGGUAUGUAAAGCCCUAUCAGCAGGGAAGAAAAUGACGGUACCUGAGUAAGAAGCCCCGGCUAACUACGUGCCAGCAGCCGCGGUAAUACGUAGGGGGCAAGCGUUAUCCGGAUUUACUGGGUGUAAAGGGAGCGUAGACGGCAGUGCAAGUCUGGAGUGAAAGGCGGGGGCUCAACCCCCGGACUGCUCUGGAAACUGCGUCGCUGGAGUACGGGAGGGGCAGGCGGAAUUCCUGGUGUAGCGGUGAAAUGCGUAGAUAUCAGGAGGAACACCGGCGGCGAAGGCGGCCUGCUGGACCGUGACUGACGUUGAGGCUCGAGAGCGUGGGGAGCAAACAGGAUUAGAUACCCUAGUA